Non-coding RNA from Triticum aestivum (bread wheat), 115 nucleotides. The record is from Rfam. NCBI's taxonomy places the organism in Eukaryota, Viridiplantae, Streptophyta, Magnoliopsida, Poales, Poaceae.
CAAGUACUCCCUCCGUCCGGAAUUACUUGUUAUCAAAAUGGAUGUGUCUAGAACUAAAAUACAUCUAGAUACAUCCAUUUCAAUGACAAGUAUUUUUGGACGGAGGAAGUACAAG